UAAAGAUGUCGGGGGAGUCUCGCCACAGAGACUGAGAGGCUGAUAGCGCAACCGCGCGGUUCAGCGACCCUUUGAACCUGACCCAGUUGAUACUGGCGUAGGAAGACUGAGGGCGCCAGAC
This 121-nucleotide non-coding RNA is filed under the name Pantoea sp. RNAcentral describes it as "TPP sequence". It matches the Rfam family "TPP riboswitch aptamer (THI element)". Rfam says of the family: Vitamin B(1) in its active form thiamin pyrophosphate (TPP) is an essential coenzyme that is synthesised by coupling of pyrimidine and thiazole moieties in bacteria. Lineage: Bacteria; Pseudomonadati; Pseudomonadota; Gammaproteobacteria; Enterobacterales; Erwiniaceae. The record is from RNAcentral.